AUUGAACGCUGGCGGCAGGCCUAACACAUGCAAGUCGAGCGAGCGGCGGACGGGUGAGUAAUGUUUGGGAAACUGCCUGAAGGAGGGGGAUAACUACUGGAAACGGUAGCUAAUCCCGCAUACCAUCAGAUGUGUGCAGAUGGGAUUCGCUAGUAGGUGGGGUAAUGGCUCACCUAGGCGACGCUCCCUAGCUGGUCUGAGAGGAUGACCACCCACACUGGAACUGAGACACGGUCCAGACUCCUACGGGAGGCAGCAGUGGGGAAUAUUGCACAAUGGGCGCAAGCCUGAUGCAGCCAUGCCGCGUGUAUGAAGAAGGCCUUCGGGUUGUAAAGUACUUUCAGCGGGGAGGCGUUACCCGCAGAAGAAGCACCGGCUAACUCCGUGCCAGCAGCCGCGGUAAUAC
RNAcentral lists this ribosomal RNA (406 nucleotides) under uncultured bacterium. RNAcentral describes it as "partial 16S ribosomal RNA". It matches the Rfam family "Bacterial small subunit ribosomal RNA", at positions 30 to 526 of the family's 1533-position model. The record is from RNAcentral.